This is a long non-coding RNA of Armigeres subalbatus, 2380 nucleotides long. RefSeq lists it as uncharacterized. NCBI's taxonomy places the organism in Eukaryota, Metazoa, Arthropoda, Insecta, Diptera, Culicidae. The transcript is spliced from 7 exons. The record is from RefSeq and is a predicted model, not a curated record.
GGAUGAUGUCACGUUACUUCAGUAGUGUUCGGUUAUUUUCUUCCGCUGUAAUAUUUUAUUUGCACAAACGUUUGCACAAAGCGGUGGUAAAUACCGUAAAUAAAAAAACAAACAUUAAAUAAUCAGAUACAGCUAAUAUGCAACGGCCAGGGGUAAAAAUCCACAUAUGGAAAGCUGCUAAAUUGUUGCUUGCUAAUCCCAUGAAACAAUUCCGUUACCUUAUCACUAGCAGCAGAACGCCAGCUUACCCGCAUCGACAGAAUAUGAGUUACAUAUUUACAUGAAACGGUCGUGUGUACCCUGAACUGAUAGUAUUUACUCGAGAAAUAGAUGCCGGAAUGCUUGGUGGAAGCAGCCCUGAAAGAAGUUUGGAAUGCUUGAUCGUUGCUGGUGUUUCAAUAACAGAUGACAAAAGCAAGAUUAUUUUGACGGCUAUUUCUGGAACAAGAUAUCGAUCCGGAAAUAAGAAAAGAUCAUCAAAAAGUAUUUUGCUUUCCAAUUCAUCAAGAAUUGCACAGCAGGAGGAGAAAAUCAUUCAAAGAUUUGCUCCGAACAAGUCUAAUCUGUAUUGGCUAUACAGCAACUGUUUGAGCUGAAUUUGAUCAACAUCAAGAAAGUUAGCAUCAGCGUCAUAGUACCUACUGAGCCAUUACGGACGAAUAUUAUUAUCUGAACGAGAAUUAAGCAAGCGGAAAACGAUAAAAAAACACAUGGAUUCGGGCUCGGAGAAUUCGGUUUGGUGAAAAACGAAUCACGGAAGAAACCUCGAAAGUCUAAUGGCAGUUCUUCUGAUAUCAUGUCUCAUAAUUUGCUGCUAAAUAUCUACCCGGGAGAAGUAAACACGCAUAUCGUUGAGCGAAUUGAAUUGAAACUUGACAAAACUGCAAAGGAACGGUUGCUGGCAAAAAAGUGCAAACCACAAGGUAUUAUAAUAACUGCUAGAAUUUUGCCCUCAUGGAACCAGAGUCGAGUGUGCAUUUACUGAAGGCUGCGGAUAGCGCAUUUGAACAGUAAGGAUGAUGACGUUAUUACUAUCGAUUCAUAAUCGCCGAUGUUAAGAAGGAGAAGGCGGAUAAACCUGGGGAUAAACAAUCAACCUCCAAGGUAUUCAAUAACCGAGUCUCGUUAUUGUCAACAAUCCAUUAUUUGCCUCACACGGACGCGAAGAAGAAGUUGUGACGAUUACGCACACUUCUGCUGAUUGAAUGUUUCACUUCUGAGAAUAUAGAAACGCCUGUCGGAUUCUUUGCCUUAUUGGUGGCAGUGGUAAGAAAGCGCAUUGUGAGAGCAUGCCUGUCUCCUGUAUUCGAGAGUGCUGUCCGACUGGUGGCCAUCAUAGCCGCGGUGCUUUGAUGUAAUUAACUUGAUAGUGUCAAUCUCAUUCGGGUGACCAAUAACCAAAAUGAACCGAACAACAACAUGCAAGCGACACGGUGGCAAUUCACAUCUGGCUGGUUUGAACCCUCUUAGCAAACCAUUGCAAAGCUAUCUCAAUCAGGCUCCUCCAUCGAGUCUUGAUCCGUUCAGUGAGGGAGGUCCAAAUAGCGAAGUGGGUUGAGGUACUGCUGGUGUUUUGGAUACGUGUUGGUUCAGCAGAUCCAAAUGGCUGUCCAAGCGGGAUAUUUGAAUCGUCAGAUCCUCAAUCAACCAUUGCCACCGGAAACCCUUUUAUUGUUGAAUCAGUUGCUGAAGUAUUUACAAUUACAUGUCAUGCAGAAUAAUUUACGAUGUGAAGGCGCUUCCAAUAAUCAAAUGCCGAUUAUUUCAAAAAUAAAGCAAAAAAUCGCUGGAUUGGAGAACCACCCAACAAGCAGUCAACAUGAAGCACCAACAGCAGCAUUUUGGAAAAGCAACUAGGUACCUGACAAAUAACGUCGAUCGUGAACUGAAUGAUCUAACUACGUCUCAGAAUAAAUUAUCGGAAAUGAAAUUAGGUAAAGAACAUAUCACCAUAGCUCUAAAGGCGGUAGUAUCGGUACCGGUUCUACUAGUCAACACUGAUCAAUGGAAGUUGCCAACCAUUGACAAGGAUGAAGAACACGAUUUUACUGAUUUUUGUCGUGAAUCUAGAACGAUGGCAAAAUCCACACUUCCCACUUCCCACUACUGAAUCAAACAUCUACACCUGGUCCACCUGUCGUGGAGGAAUUGAAGGUGGAUGACCAGAUUUCUCAGUCGAUACUGUCAGUGACGAUUAGCCUGCUAGACAACAUACUUUCACAGAUUUGCUUGCUAUGCGCUUGAAUCUGGAAUACCUAGAAAGUUUUGUAUGCUAUUUUAAAUCAAUAAUCAGUUAUAUUGCAUCAGGGCACUAAAAUGUAUUAGUAUUGCAUGUAUUUUGCAAAUGAUAAUAAAAUUGAGAACCUAUACUGUAACGAUG